UGGGGAAUAUUGGACAAUGGGCGCAAGCCUGAUCCAGCCACGCCGCGUGAGUGAUGAAGGCCUUCGGGUCGUAAAGCUCUGUGGGGAGGGACGAACCGCUGUGCGUGCAUAGCGCGCAGCAUGACGGUACCUCCUUAGCAAGCACCGGCUAACUUCGUGCCAGUAGCCGCGGUAAUACGAAGGGUGCAAACGUUGCUCGGAAUUAUUGGGCGUAAAGCGCACGUAGGCGGCUUAGCAAGUCGGAUGUGAAAUCCCUCGGCUCAACCAAGGAAGUGCAUCCGAAACUGCUGAGCUUGAGUACGAAAGAGGAUCGCGGAAUUCCCGGUGUAGAGGUGAAAUUCGUAGAUA
RNAcentral lists this ribosomal RNA (348 nucleotides) under uncultured bacterium. Its description in RNAcentral is "bacterial SSU rRNA". It matches the Rfam family "Bacterial small subunit ribosomal RNA", at positions 355 to 696 of the family's 1533-position model. The record is from RNAcentral.